RNAcentral lists this ribosomal RNA (465 nucleotides) under uncultured Klebsiella sp. RNAcentral's name for it is "bacterial SSU rRNA". It matches the Rfam family "Bacterial small subunit ribosomal RNA", at positions 338 to 795 of the family's 1533-position model. Lineage: Bacteria; Pseudomonadati; Pseudomonadota; Gammaproteobacteria; Enterobacterales; Enterobacteriaceae. The record is from RNAcentral.
CCUACGGGUGGCAGCAGUGGGGAAUAUUGCACAAUGGGCGCAAGCCUGAUGCAGCCAUGCCGCGUGUGUGAAGAAGGCCUUCGGGUUGUAAAGCACUUUCAGCGGGGAGGAAGGCGGUGAGGUUAAUAACCUCAUCGAUUGACGUUACCCGCAGAAGAAGCACCGGCUAACUCCGUGCCAGCAGCCGCGGUAAUACGGAGGGUGCAAGCGUUAAUCGGAAUUACAGGGCGUAAAGCGCACGCAGGCGGUCUGUCAAGUCGGAUGUGAAAUCCCCGGGCUCAACCUGGGAACUGCAUUCGAAACUGGCAGGCUAGAGUCUUGUAGAGGGGGGUAGAAUUCCAGGUGUAGCGGUGAAAUGCGUAGAGAUCUGGAGGAAUACCGGUGGCGAAGGCGGCCCCCUGGACAAAGACUGACGCUCAGGUGCGAAAGCGUGGGGAGCAAACAGGAUUAGAUACCCGAGUAGUC